UAUAGAUGGAUCCGCGCUGCAUUAGCUAGUUGGUAAGGUAACGGCUUACCAAGGCAACGAUGCAUAGCCGACCUGAGAGGGUGAUCGGCCACACUGGAACUGAGACACGGUCCAGACUCCUACGGGAGGCAGCAGUAGGGAAUCUUCCGCAAUGGGCGAAAGCCUGACGGAGCAACGCCGCGUGAGUGAUGAAGGUCUUCGGAUCGUAAAACUCUGUUAUUAGGGAAGAACAUAUGUGUAAGUAACUGUGCACAUCUUGACGGUACCUAAUCAGAAAGCCACGGCUAACUACGUGCCAGCAGCCGCGGUAAUACGUAGGUGGCAAGCGUUAUCCGGAAUUAUUGGGCGUAAAGCGCGCGUAGGCGGUUUUUUAAGUCUGAUGUGAAAGCCCACGGCUCAACCGUGGAGGGUCAUUGGAAACUGGAAAACUUGAGUGCAGAAGAGGAAAGUGGAAUUCCAUGUGUAGCGGUGAAAUGCGCAGAGAUAUGGAGGAACAC
Molecule: ribosomal RNA, 497 nt
Filed under: Staphylococcus aureus
Lineage: Bacteria; Bacillati; Bacillota; Bacilli; Caryophanales; Staphylococcaceae
Description: bacterial SSU rRNA
Rfam family: Bacterial small subunit ribosomal RNA
Source: RNAcentral